Molecule: ribosomal RNA, 830 nt
Filed under: Marasmius congregatus
Lineage: Eukaryota; Fungi; Basidiomycota; Agaricomycetes; Agaricales; Marasmiaceae
Description: partial large subunit ribosomal RNA
Rfam family: Eukaryotic large subunit ribosomal RNA
Source: RNAcentral
UCCCUAGUAACUGCGAGUGAAGAGGGAAAAGCUCAAAUUUAAAAUCUGGCAGCUUCGCUGUCCGAGUUGUAAUUUAGAGAAGUGUUACCCGCGCUGGACCGUGUAUAAGUCUCCUGGAAUGGAGCGUCAUAGAGGGUGAGAAUCCCGUCUUUGACACGGACUACCAGGGCAUUGUGGUGCGCUCUCGAAGAGUCGAGUUGUUUGGGAAUGCAGCUCUAAAUGGGUGGUAAAUUCCAUCUAAAGCUAAAUAUUGGCGAGAGACCGAUAGCGAACAAGUACCGUGAGGGAAAGAUGAAAAGAACUUUGGAAAGAGAGUUAAACAGUACGUGAAAUUGCUGAAAGGGAAACGCUUGAAGUCAGUCGCGUUGGCCGGGGAUCAGCCUUGCUUUUGUGAGGUGUACUUCCCGGUUGACGGGUCAGCAUCAGUUUCGACCACUGGAGAAAGGCUUGGGGAAUGUGGCACCUUCGGGUGUGUUAUAGCCCCUYGUUGUAUACAGUGGUUGGGACUGAGGAACUCAGCACGCCGCAAGGCCGGGUUUCGACCACGUUCGUGCUUAGGAUGCUGGCAAAAUGGCUUUAAGCGACCCGUCUUGAAACACGGACCAAGGAGUCUAACAUGCCUGCGAGUGUUUGGGUGGAAAACCCGAGCGCGUAAUGAAAGUGAAAGUUGGGAUCUCUGUCGUGGAGAGCACCGACGCCCGGACCUGAUGUUUACUGACGGAUCUGCGGUAGAGCAUGUAUGUUGGGACCCGAAAGAUGGUGAACUAUGCCUGAAUAGGGUGAAGCCAGAGGAAACUCUGGUGGAGGCUCGUAGCGAUUCUGACGUGCAA